CACGUAGGGUGCGAGCGUUGUCCGGAUUUAUUGGGCGUAAAGAGCUCGUAGGUGGUUCGGUAAGUCAGGUGUGAAACCUCCAGGCUCAACCUGGAGACGCCACUUGAUACUGCUGUGACUGGAGUCCGGUAGGGGAGCGUGGAAUUCCUGGUGUAGCGGUGAAAUGCGCAGAUAUCAGGAGGAACACCAGCGGCGAAGGCGGCGCUCUGGGCCGGUACUGACACUGAGGAGCGAAAGCGUGGGGAGCAAACAGG
Molecule: ribosomal RNA, 254 nt
Filed under: uncultured bacterium
Lineage: Bacteria
Description: partial 16S ribosomal RNA
Rfam family: Bacterial small subunit ribosomal RNA
Source: RNAcentral